GUGGGCCUACGGGGCGCAGCAGUGGGGAAUAUUGCACAAUGGGGGGAACCCUGAUGCAGCGACGCCGCGUGAGUGAAGAAGUAUUUCGGUACGUAAAGCUCUAUCAGCAGGGAAGAAAAAAGGACGGUACCUGAGUAAGAAGCCCCGGCUAACUACGUGCCAGCAGCCGCGGUAAUACGUAGGGGGCAAGCGUUAUCCGGAUUUACUGGGUGUAAAGGGAGCGUAGACGGCUGUACAAGUCUGAAGUGAAAGCCCGUGGCUCAACCGCGGAACUGCUUUGGAAACUGUAAAGCUGGAGUACUGGG
RNAcentral lists this ribosomal RNA (305 nucleotides) under uncultured bacterium. RNAcentral describes it as "bacterial SSU rRNA". It matches the Rfam family "Bacterial small subunit ribosomal RNA", at positions 333 to 653 of the family's 1533-position model. The record is from RNAcentral.